Molecule: long non-coding RNA, 617 nt
Organism: Neofelis nebulosa (Clouded leopard)
Lineage: Eukaryota; Metazoa; Chordata; Mammalia; Carnivora; Felidae
Exons: 2
Source: RefSeq, a predicted model, not a curated record
AUGGCCUUUUAUGUACUGAUUCAACAAUGCAGAUUCUUUUCUCCUCUAUGAUUCCUGAGCCUUCAACUUAGUCUUCUUUAUCCAGCUGAGGGGAAUAAGGAAGAGAACGCACAGGGAAUUAUGUGGAGGAGGUUAGGGACAGGCUUGGCAGUGACCUGUAUCACUUUCAUUUAUGUUCCAUUGACUGGAAUAUGGCAGAUCUAACUGCAAGACACCUGGGAUUGAAGAGAAGCACAUAGAUACUGCUUCCGUGUUAUCUGAAGACCACUUAACUGAUCACCAGAUGUCUGGAAACCUCACUUCAGGAAACCCUGCUCCACAUAUUUGAGGAAUGGAAAUUGAUGCAACAUCUGGGUUAAAAUUAUACAGAAGUGUAAUAGUUAAGAUAUGUUUCUCACCUCUACCCUGUUUUCAUGCUUUUACUUCUACUGGUGGAGAGGCUCAAAGCCAUUCCCUGGUACUAAGCCUAGACCCGAUACUUUCUUCUCCACAUUUGAGAAUGCUUUACUAAUUGUUUGAAAGCUUCCAUAGUGAUCAUGGUGCUCUAGAAGUCAUUGGCGGUGGGACAACAGAACCUCAUAGAACUUUUUCCCCAAUAAAAUCAUCUUUUAAAACUG